GAUGAACGCUGGCGGCGUGCCUAAUACAUGCAAGUCGAGCGAACAGAUGAGGAGCUUGCUCCUCUGACGUUAGCGGCGGACGGGUGAGUAACACGUGGAUAACCUACCUAUAAGACUGGGAUAACUUCGGGAAACCGGAGCUAAUACCGGAUAAUAUAUUGAACCGCAUGGUUCAAUAGUGAAAGACGGUUUUGCUGUCACUUAUAGAUGGAUCCGCGCCGCAUUAGCUAGUUGGUAAGGUAACGGCUUACCAAGGCAACGAUGCGUAGCCGACCUGAGAGGGGGAUCGGCCAAAAUGGAACUGAGACACGGCCCAGACCCCUAGGGGGGGCAGCAGUAGGGAAUUUUCCGCAAGGGGGGAAAGCCUGACGGAGCAACGCCGGGGGAGUGAUGAAGGUUUUCGGAUCGUAAAACCCUGUUAUGAGGGAAAAAAAAAUGUGUAAGUAACUAUGCACGUUUUGACGGUACCAAACCAAAAAGCCACGGAUAACUACGU
Molecule: ribosomal RNA, 496 nt
Filed under: uncultured bacterium
Lineage: Bacteria
Description: partial 16S ribosomal RNA
Rfam family: Bacterial small subunit ribosomal RNA
Source: RNAcentral